UCUUGGAUUUAAAUAAAUGUAAAUUUACCAGAGUACUAUGAAUCUUAUUAAAAAUUUAAAACUCAAAGAGCUUGGCGGUGUUUUAGACCUCUCAGGGGAACCUGUCUCUUAAUCGACAAUCCACGUUAAACCUAACCCUUUUUAGCGUAACAGUUUGUAUACCAUCGUCGUCAGGUAACUUUUAAAAAUUUAGAAGUUGGCAACUAAAUGUUUAUGAAUUUAGACGUCAGAUCAAGGUGCAGCUUAUAUAAGGGUGAGGAUGGGUUACAAUUAACAGUUAUAUAUACGGAUAUAACAAUGAAAUACGUGUUAUAAUGAAGGAGGACUUGAAAGUAAGGAUAAUUUAUAUAAAGACGAUCUGAAUUAGGCUCUGAAACAUGC
This 381-nucleotide ribosomal RNA is filed under the name Tonna cerevisina. RNAcentral describes it as "partial 12S ribosomal RNA". The record is from RNAcentral. Lineage: Eukaryota; Metazoa; Mollusca; Gastropoda; Littorinimorpha; Tonnidae.